UGCUCUCUUGAAUAAUAUUGACCCAGAUAAACGCCGUUGUUUGGAGUUUAUGCGUGGGGUAAAAUAUGUGGUGUUAGAUGAGGCAGAUAUGCUUCUUUGUGGGGGCUUCCAGAAUAAAGUUAUCUGUCUAUUAAACACGCUCCGUUUUGAUGAAAAGCUACUGUCUCAGUAAAAAGAAUCUGUAUCUGAGUUACCAGUGGAAUUGGAGUCUGAACCUUCAUCACACUCUACUUUAGAGGAUAAGGAGGACCUGCAAACUGACAUCAUAUCAGAAGGGGAGGAAAAUUCUGAGGAUGUUCAUGUUGAUGACUUAGCAGAGGAUGUUGAAGGUGGGUCUAAUAAAACAAAAGACUUGAGGAGAGUGAGAAAAAAUUAUGAGAGCAGUAAACGGUACAUUUGCGUUGCAGCCACCCUUACAGUAAAUGGAAAGAAAACUGCUGGGGCAGUGUUGAAAUAGAUGUUUACAGAUGCCAAUUGGGUCAGUGGAAACUACCUCCAUUGUCACAACCCAGAUUGAAGCAGAGGUGGAUUGAAGUUACAACUGAGACUCAGGCGGAUGAACUCAUAAAUGCUGUGAAUCAAGGUUUUAAAUCUAAAGCUACUGAAUGCCGAACCAUGGUGUUUGCAAAUACUGUUGAGGCUGCAGAAGCAGUGGCAAUAUAUUGUUGAAAGCUGGCAUUCAAUGUUACUGUUACCAUCAGGAUGUCUCCUUGGAGGAACGUUCCCAGAGCUCAACUGAUCUCAAAGAGAAAGGUGGUAUUCUUGUGUGCACUGAUGCUGCUGCACGUGGUGUUGACAUACCAAAUGUCUCACAUGUUAUUUAGUUGCAUCUCUUUUUAUGAAAUUAGCUAUUCCUCCAUCAUGUAUCUGGUUCGUUUUUCACAGGACUGAAAGCCUGCUAAUGCUAGUUUUUUUUCUUUUCUUUUCCUGAUAAGUACUAAUGCUAGGUUUCAUAGCAAUU
Quercus lobata is the source of this 961-nucleotide long non-coding RNA. RefSeq lists it as uncharacterized. The transcript has 3 exons. The record is from RefSeq and is a predicted model, not a curated record. NCBI's taxonomy places the organism in Eukaryota, Viridiplantae, Streptophyta, Magnoliopsida, Fagales, Fagaceae.